CAGCCAUUUUGGAAAUUUCAAAGUCAAAAAGGGCAUCUACACUUGCAAAUUAUCAUUUUUGCAAAAUUUCAUUGAGUUUGGAGCAUUUUGAAAUUUUGAACAAUUUUGCUGUUUCCAUGGUUACGGCGGCCAUUUUGGAAAUUCCAACUACAAAAUGAAACUCUGCACAUGUCAGUUACUAUUCCUGUAAAGUUUCAUGCAGAUUGCAGCACUUUAUUUUUUUUUUGGAAAUUUUGAACAUUUGUGCUGCAACCAUGGUUACAGUAGAUAAUUCCAAAAUUCUAAAAGCAGACAUCUCAUUGCCACAUGUCAUGUUAUAUAUCAAUACAGUUUCAUUUACUUUGGUGCAAUACUCUCUGAGAAAAUGCUGAUUUUAUGCAUUUUUCCAUAGGGUCAAUGUUAAACUUGUCCCCAGUUUCCAUGACAACGGCGGCCAUUUUGGAGUUUCCAAAUAUCGUCUUGGCAUCUUGGCAUACUGGGUAACAUUUUCAUAAAGUUUCAUCCAGUUAGGUCAUAUAACGACAGAGUUAGAAUUUUUGAUAUUUUAGCUGUUUCCAUGGUAACGGCAGCCAUUUUGAAAAUUCCAAGAUCAAAAUGCAGCUCAGGCCAUGCCUGUUACUAUUUAAGUGAAGUUUCGUCCAGUUUGGAACACUUUGAAUAUUUUCGGAUUUUUGCUGUUUCCAUGGAAACGGCAGCCAUUUUGACCAUUCCAAAGUCAGGUGCACAACUUCACAUGCUGGUGCACAUUGUGGUAUAGUUCCAUCAACAUUGGUCAACUCAAUUCCAAGAAACUGCGUGGACAAAAUGUGUGGAAGAAGAAUAAGGAAAACUAGAUUUGUAAUUGCUAGCAAUAACGGAUGGCACCCUCGUCCCCCCAUUGCCAGGCGAGCGGCAGCCAUUUUGAAAAUUUCAAAGUCAAAGAGUGCAUCUACACAUGCAAGUCAUCAUUUUUGUAAAAUUUCAUUAAGUUUGGAGCAUUUUGAAAUUUUGGACAAUUUUGCUGUUUCCAUGGUUACGGCGGCCAUUUUGGAAAUUCCAACUUCAAAAUGCAACUCCGCACAUGUCAGUUACUAUUCCUGUAAAGUUUCAUCCAGUUUGCAGCAUUUUAAUUUUUUUGGAAAUUUUGAACAUUUGUGCUGCAACCAUGGUUACAGUAGAUAAUUCCAAAAUUCUAAAAGCGUACAUCUCAUUGCCACAUGUCAUGUUAUAUAUCAAUACAGUUUCAUUAACUUUGGUGCACUACUCUCUGAGAAAAUGCUGAUUUUAUGCAUUUUUCCAUAGGGUCAAUGCAAAACUUGGCCCCAGUUUCCAUGACAACGGCGGCCAUUUUGAACUAUCCAAAUAUUGUCUUGACAUCUUGGCAUACUGGAGAACAUUUUCAUAAAGUUUCAUCCAGUUGGAUGUUAUAACGAAAGAGUUAGAAUUUUUGAUAUUUUAGCUGUUUCCAUGGUAACGGCAGCCAUUUUGAAAAUUCCAAAGUCAAACUGGAAAUCAGCACAUGCCAGUUAACAUUCCUGUGGAGUUUCUUCCAGUUUGGACCACUUUGAUUUUUUUCGCAUUUGUGCUGUUUCCAUGGAAACGGCGGCCAUCUUUUACCAUUCCAUAGCAAGGUGCACAACUUCAAGUGGGGUUCUUCAUUAUAGUUGAGUUCCAUAAACAUUGGUAGGUUCAAUUCUGAGAACUCGCGCGGACAAAAUGUGUGGAAGAAAAAUAAAAAUAACUAGAUUUGUAAUUGCUAGCAAUAACGGAUGGCACCCUCGUCCCCCCAUUGCCAGGCGAGCGGCAGCCAUUUUGGAAAUUCCAAAGUCAAAGAGUGCAUCUACACCUGCAAGUUAUCAUUUUUGCAAAAUUUCAUUAAGUUUGGAGCAUUUUGAAAUUUUGGACAAUUUUGCUGUUUCCAUGGUUACGGCGGCCAUUUUGGAAAUUCCAACUUCAAAAUGCAACUCCGCACAUGUCAGUCACUAUUCCUGUAAAGUUUCAUCCAGUUUGCAGCACUUAAUUUUUUUUGGAAAUUUUGAACAUUUGUGCUGCAACC
This 2035-nucleotide long non-coding RNA is filed under the name Mytilus galloprovincialis (Mediterranean mussel). The record is from RNAcentral. Lineage: Eukaryota; Metazoa; Mollusca; Bivalvia; Mytilida; Mytilidae.